AGAGUUUGAUCCUGGCUCAGGAUGAACGCUGGCGGCGUGCUUAACACAUGCAAGUCGAACGAACCUUCGGGUUAGUGGCGGACGGGUGAGUAACGCGUGAGAAUCUGCCCUCAGGAGGGGGAUAACGGUUGGAAACGACCGCUAAUACCCCAUAUGCCGCGAGGUGAAAUGAAUUUCGCCUGAGGAUGAGCUCGCGUCUGAUUAGCUUGUUGGUAGGGUAAAAGCCUACCAAGGCUUCGAUCAGUAGCUGGUCUGAGAGGAUGAUCAGCCACACUGGGACUGAGACACGGCCCAGACUCCUACGGGAGGCAGCAGUCGGGAAUAUUGGACAAUGGAGGAAACUCUGAUCCAGCAAUGCCGCGUGUGUGAUGAAGGCCUUAGGGUUGUAAAGCACUUUCAACGGUGAAGAUGAUGACGGUAGCCGUAGAAGAAGCCCCGGCUAACUUCGUGCCAGCAGCCGCGGUAAUACGAAGGGGGCGAGCGUUGUUCGGAAUUAUUGGGCGUAAAGGGCGCGCAGGCGGUUUGGAUAGUUAGACGUGAAAGCCCUGGGCUUAACCUAGGAACUGCGUUUAAUACUGCCAGACUAGAGAACUAGAGAGGAUAGCGGAACUCCCAGUGUAGAGGUGAAAUUCGUA
Molecule: ribosomal RNA, 635 nt
Filed under: uncultured Alphaproteobacteria bacterium
Lineage: Bacteria; Pseudomonadati; Pseudomonadota; Alphaproteobacteria
Description: bacterial SSU rRNA
Rfam family: Bacterial small subunit ribosomal RNA
Source: RNAcentral